This 253-nucleotide ribosomal RNA is filed under the name uncultured bacterium. RNAcentral describes it as "partial 16S ribosomal RNA". It matches the Rfam family "Bacterial small subunit ribosomal RNA", at positions 524 to 776 of the family's 1533-position model. The record is from RNAcentral.
UACGAAGGGGGCUAGCGUUGCUCGGAAUCACUGGGCGUAAAGGGUGCGUAGGCGGGUCUUUAAGUCAGGGGUGAAAUCCUGGAGCUCAACUCCAGAACUGCCUUUGAUACUGAAGACCUUGAGUCCGGGAGAGGUGAGUGGAACUGCGAGUGUAGAGGUGAAAUUCGUAGAUAUUCGCAAGAACACCAGUGGCGAAGGCGGCUCACUGGCCCGGUACUGACGCUGAGGUGCGAAAGCGUGGGGAGCAAACAGG